RNAcentral lists this ribosomal RNA (303 nucleotides) under uncultured bacterium. Its description in RNAcentral is "partial 16S ribosomal RNA". It matches the Rfam family "Bacterial small subunit ribosomal RNA", at positions 507 to 807 of the family's 1533-position model. The record is from RNAcentral.
AGCAGUAGCCGCGGUAAUACGUAGGGUGCAAGCGUUAAUCGGAAUUACUGGGCGUAAAGCGUGCGCAGGCGGUUAUAUAAGUCAGAUGUGAAAUCCCCGGGCUCAACCUGGGAACUGCAUUUGAGACUGUAUGGCUAGAGUGUGUCAGAGGGGGGUAGAAUUCCACGUGUAGCAGUGAAAUGCGUAGAGAUCGGGAGGAACAUCAGUGGCGAAGGCGGCCAUCUGGGACAACACUGACGCUGAGGCACGAAAGCGUGGGGAGCAAACAGGAUUAGAGACCCCAGUAGUCCCUGUCUCUUAUAC